This is an RNA transcript of Mandrillus leucophaeus (drill), 1403 nucleotides long. It is a transcript of the gene named TAR DNA-binding protein 43 pseudogene, with no coding region annotated. The record is from RefSeq and is a predicted model, not a curated record. NCBI's taxonomy places the organism in Eukaryota, Metazoa, Chordata, Mammalia, Primates, Cercopithecidae. The transcript is spliced from 3 exons.
AUGUCGGAGAGACCGCAGCCCAGCCUCUGCCACCGCAGAGCUGCUUAUCCGGCAGCGCGACUCCCUCGGGCACCUUUCCAGGGGCGUGUGGGCUUCGCUACAGAAAUCCAGCGUCUCAAUGGCCUGAAAGAGUAUUGCAGUACCUUUGGAGAAGCUCUUGCGGUGCAACAAAGCCAAGAUGAGCCUUUGAGAAGCAGAAAAGUGUUUGUGGGAUGCGGUACAGAGGACGUGACUGAGGAUGAGCUGCGGGAGUUCUUCUCUCAGUGUGGGGAUGUGAUGGAUGUCUUCAUCCCCGAGACAUUCAGGGCCUUUGCGUUUGUUACAUUUGCAGAUGGUCAGAUGGCGCAGUCUCUUUGUGGAGAGGACUUGAUGAUUAAAGGAAUCAGCGUUCAUAUAUAUCCAAUGCCGAACCUAAGCACAAUAGCAAUAGAAAGAAGUGAAAGAUUUGGUUGUAAUCCAGGUGGCUUUGGGAAUCAGGGUGCAUUUGGUAACAGUAGAGGGGGUGGAGCUGGUUUGGGAAACAAGGUAGUAAUACGGGUGGUGGGAUAAACUUUGGUGCACUCAGCAUUAAUCCAGCCAUGAUGGCUGCCGCCCAGGCAGCGUAACAGAGCAGUUGGUGUAUGAUGGGCAUGUUAGCCAGUCAGCAGAACCAGUCAGGCCCAUCGGGUAAGAACCAAAGCCAAGGCAACAUGCAGAGGGAGCCAAACCAGGCGUUUGGUUCUCGAAAUAACUCUUAGAGUGGUUCUAAUUUUGGUGCGGCAAUUGGCUGGGGAUCUGCAUCAAAUGCAGGGUUGGGCAGUGGUUUUAAUGGAGGCUUUGGCUCAAGCAUGGAUUCUAAGUCUUCCGGCUGGGGACUGUAGACAGUGGGGUUAGGGCUGGUUGGUAUAGAAUGGCUGGAAUUCAAAUUUUUCUAAACUCAUGGUAAGCAUAUUGUAAAAUACAUAUGUGCUAUGCAUUUUCAAAAUUGGUUUGUUCAGUGCGGAGUAUAUUCAGCAGUAUUUUUGACAUUUUUCUUUAGAAAAACGAACAGCUAAAGGAAUCUUAUAAGUUUUGUUACAUGAAAGGUUGAAAUAGUGAGUGGUUGAAAGUGAACUGCUGUUUGCCUGAUUGGUAAACCAACACACUACAAUUGGUAGUAAAAGGUUUCUCCUGUAAUAUUUUAUCUCUGGACUUGUCAAGUGAAUUCUUUGCAUGUUCAAAAUGGAAACCAUGGAUUAGAACUACAUUCUUUACCCCUUGUUUUAAUUUGAACCCCACCAUAUGGAUUUUUUUCCUUAAGAAAAUCUCCUUUUAGGAGAUCAUGGUGUCACAGUGUUUGGUUCUUUCACUUUGUUUUUUAACAUUUGUCUCCCCUUAAAUACAAAAGUACAAUAUGAAGCCUUCAUUUAAUCUCUGCAGUUCAU